AUUCUUUUCCAUCGUCGUUACAGGCUCCGAGAGCUGAACACACUCAAGGGACACGUCGAGUCUGUGGUGAAGUUGAAGGGACUCGACAUCGACACCAUUCAGCAGCACUACACAGUGUGAGAAAAGUAUUAUUGCUUCCUCAUAUAAAAUGAGAGAUUUUAAUGAAAUUGUGAUUUCACUUUGCUGUGCCAAGGAAAGAAAAAGAGAAAAUGUUUGAGAAAGAGACAACAAAACAAACAUUUAAAAAAAAAAAAAGAAGGAAGUUGCUAAUUUGCCAAACCUUUCCAACAUACAGAGAGAUUGUGUGGUGCCUUUGCCUUGUAAUUUUUCCUAGUUUUUUGCUUACUAUUUUUCUUCCAUAUGUAUUUGCAAUGUUAGUAAGAUAAAAGAAUUGUGUUUGGCUUUGACAAACUCCUAGUCCUCACCAUCAUCAUAAUGCAAUUUUUAAGCAUUCAAAUCAAAUUUUAAUACUCUCCUCUUUGAUCAUUAAUAUUCAAAUAUUCAAUCAUG
Molecule: long non-coding RNA, 510 nt
Filed under: Cucumis sativus (cucumber)
Lineage: Eukaryota; Viridiplantae; Streptophyta; Magnoliopsida; Cucurbitales; Cucurbitaceae
Description: long non-coding RNA (CSAT_LNC000542)
Source: RNAcentral